This is a small nuclear RNA of Lupinus angustifolius (narrow-leaved blue lupine), 160 nucleotides long. It matches the Rfam family "U1 spliceosomal RNA". Rfam says of the family: U1 is a small nuclear RNA (snRNA) component of the spliceosome (involved in pre-mRNA splicing). Its 5' end forms complementary base pairs with the 5' splice junction, thus defining the 5' donor site of an intron. Lineage: Eukaryota; Viridiplantae; Streptophyta; Magnoliopsida; Fabales; Fabaceae. The record is from Rfam.
AUACUUACCUGGACGGGGUCAAUGUAUGAUCAAGAAGGUCCAUGGCCUAGGCUUGGGACCUCCAUUGCACUUAGGAGGGGUGCUUGCUUAAGGUCUCCCCAAGAGGGAGAGCCUACAUCAUAAUUUAUGGUAGUGGGGACUUGCGUUCGCGCAGUCCCUC